This 336-nucleotide unclassified non-coding RNA is filed under the name soil metagenome. RNAcentral's name for it is "partial contains 5.8S ribosomal RNA, internal transcribed spacer 2, and large subunit ribosomal RNA". The stretch from base 1 to 120 matches the Rfam family "5.8S ribosomal RNA", at positions 35 to 154 of the family's 154-position model. The record is from RNAcentral.
GAUGAAGAACGUAGCGAAAUGCGAUAAGUAAUGUGAAUUGCAGAAUUCAGUGAAUCAUCGAAUCUUUGAACGCACAUUGCGCCCCUUGGUAUUCCAUGGGGCAUGCCUGUUCGAGCGUCAUUUGUACCUUCAAGCUCUGCUUGGUGUUGGGUGUUUGUCUCGCCUCUGCGCGUAGACUCGCCUCAAAACAAUUGGCAGCCGGCGUAUUGAUUUCGGAGCGCAGUACAUCUCGCGCCUUGCACUCAUAACGACGACGUCCAAAAGUACAUUUUUACACUCUUGACCUCGGAUCAGGUAGGGAUACCCGCUGAACUUAAGCAUAUCAAUAAGCGAGGA